UACGUAGGGGGCUAGCGUUAUCCGGAAUUACUGGGCGUAAAGGGUGCGUAGGUGGUUUCUUAAGUCAGAGGUGAAAGGCUACGGCUCAACCGUAGUAAGCCUUUGAAACUGAGAAACUUGAGUGCAGGAGAGGAGAGUAGAAUUCCUAGUGUAGCGGUGAAAUGCGUAGAUAUUAGGAGGAAUACCAGUUGCGAAGGCGGCUCUCUGGACUGUAACUGACACUGAGGCGCGAUAGCGUGGGGAGCGAACAGG
Molecule: ribosomal RNA, 252 nt
Filed under: uncultured bacterium
Lineage: Bacteria
Description: partial 16S ribosomal RNA
Rfam family: Bacterial small subunit ribosomal RNA
Source: RNAcentral